Molecule: ribosomal RNA, 371 nt
Filed under: uncultured prokaryote
Description: bacterial SSU rRNA
Rfam family: Bacterial small subunit ribosomal RNA
Source: RNAcentral
UACGGAGGAUGCGAGCGUUAUCCGGAUUUAUUGGGUUUAAAGGGUUCGUAGGCGGCUUUAUAAGUCAGCGGUGAAAUACCAGAGCUUAACUCUGGGGCUGCCGUUGAUACUGUUAAGCUUGAGUAGGAUCGACGAUGGCGGAAUGAGACAAGUAGCGGUGAAAUGCAUAGAUAUGUCUCAGAACACCGAUAGCGUAGGCAGCUGUCGAGGUCAUCUACUGACGCUGAGGAACGAAAGCGUGGGGAUCAAACAGGAUUAGAUACCCUGGUAGUCCACGCCGUAAACGAUGAUAACUGGAUGUUCGGUAUUUAUAUCGAGCGUCUGAGGGAAACCAUUAAGUUAUCCACCUGGGGAGUACGUUCGCAAGAAUG